RNAcentral lists this transfer RNA (72 nucleotides) under Phrynosoma platyrhinos (Desert horned lizard). RNAcentral's name for it is "tRNA-OTHER". The record is from RNAcentral. Lineage: Eukaryota; Metazoa; Chordata; Lepidosauria; Squamata; Phrynosomatidae.
GCCAGCAUGGUGUAGUGGUUUGAGUGUUGGAUUGCGACUCUGGAGACCUGGGUUUGAUUCCCCAGUCUGCCA